This 245-nucleotide ribosomal RNA is filed under the name uncultured bacterium. RNAcentral describes it as "partial 16S ribosomal RNA". It matches the Rfam family "Bacterial small subunit ribosomal RNA", at positions 524 to 768 of the family's 1533-position model. The record is from RNAcentral.
GACAGAGGUGCCAAGCGUUAGGCGGAAUCACUGGGCUUAAAGCGUGUGUAGGCGGACUUUUAAGUACCUUGUGAAAUCCCCCGGCUCAACCGGGGAACCGCUGGGUAUACUGGGAGUCUUGAGCCACCCAGGGGCAACCGGAACAAACGGUGGAGCGGUGAAAUGCGUAGAUAUCGUUUGGAACGCCAAUGGUGAAAACAGGUUGCUGGGGGUGCGCUGACGCUGAGACACGAAAGCCAGGGGAG